This 585-nucleotide ribosomal RNA is filed under the name uncultured bacterium. RNAcentral's name for it is "partial 16S ribosomal RNA". It matches the Rfam family "Bacterial small subunit ribosomal RNA", at positions 355 to 1375 of the family's 1533-position model. The record is from RNAcentral.
UGGGGAAUUUUGGACAAUGGGCGAAAGCCUGAUCCAGCAAUGCCGCGUGUGUGAAGAAGGCCUUCGGGUUGUAAAGCGCUUUUGUCCGGAAAGAAAUCCUUGGCUCUAAUACAGUCGGGGGAUGACGGUACCGGAAGAAUAAGCACCGGCUAACUACGUGCCAGCAGCCGCGGUAAUACGUAGGGUGCAAGCGUUAAUCGGAAUUACUGGGCGUAAAGCGUGCGCAGGCGGUUUGCUAAGACCGAUGUGAAAUCCCCGGGCUCAACCUGGGAACUGCAUUGGUGACUGGCAGGCUAGAGUAUGGCAGAGGGGGGUAGAAUUCCACGUGUAGCAGUGAAAUGCGUAGAGAUGUGGAGGAAUACCGAUGGCGAAGGCAGCCCCCUGGGCCAAUACUGACGCUCAUGCACGAAAGCGUGGGGAGCAAACAGGAUUAGAUACCCUGGUAGUCCACGCCCUAAACGAUGUCAACUAGUUGUUGGGGAUUCAUUUCCUUAGUAACGUAGCUAACGCGUGAAGUUGACCGCCUGGGGAGUACGGUCGCAAGAUUAAAACUCAAAUGAAUUGACGGGGUCAUAGCUGUUUCCU